CUAAAUAGCUUUCUCUAUCAUUCUGCUUUGGGAGCAGGGGGUCGUGGGUUCGAAUCCCGCUACCCCGA
RNAcentral lists this transfer RNA (68 nucleotides) under Caudoviricetes sp. RNAcentral describes it as "tRNA-Ser". Lineage: Duplodnaviria; Heunggongvirae; Uroviricota; Caudoviricetes. The record is from RNAcentral.